CGAUUUAUGUAACGUAGAAACAAAACCUAUUCAAAUAAAUGUCAUAAUAAUAAUAAUAAUAAUAAUAAUAAUAAUAACAGAUUGCGCAAUACAUCCGACUCUGAAUAAAAGUAAGAUUCGUUUAACUUAAGGAUUCUUUAAACUUCCCGUUAGUGCUCAUAAUUUCUAAAUAAAAGAGAGAUCCAAAUUCCCCAGAUCUCAGUCCAAUCGAGUAUCUGUGGAAUGUGCUGGACAGAAAGUCUGAUCCAUGGUGGCGCAACUCGCAGGACUUAAAGGAUCUGCUGUAACGUCUUGGUGCCAGAUACCACAGCACACCUUCAGAGGUCUCGUGGAGUCCAUGAUUUGAAGGGGACAGAGCUGUUUUGGCAGCACAAGGGGACCUAUAAAUAUUAUGCAGUCAAUUUCUGGUAUCACAAGCUCCUCUACUUCCUGAUCCACUUCCCCUGCCCAAUCUGGGCCGGGAAUGGGACAAGUUGCGUAACACAUCACGCACCAAAAAAUACCAUUUAUGAAGAGACUUCCACAAACAAAUUUGAUCAUGGAUCGAGGAAAGGAAUUGUCGUAAGAGAAGCGUGCGCAAAUCUUCAUUUUGCACAAACAGCAGAUGUCUAGUAGGGAAAUUGCCAAAAAAAACUGAACGUGGCGGAGUCCACUGUUGUCGCCACAGUCAAAAGAGCAACUGAACUAUACACACAAAUGUAUAGUGAUCGGAAAAUUUUGGCCAUGACUGUAUACAUGAAUAAUUAAUUGUGGUGAAGAAGACUGAUCUGUUUUUAAUGAGGAAAGGCAAAACCCCGCCUAAGAUGAGUACUCUAUGGAGAAAGUUUCUGUUAGGCUGGAAAGCUUGUUUGCCACGACAGUAGGAGAAACGCUAAAGAGCAACACAAACAGAAAACCACAAAAGUGAUGUGAUGAACACUGGGGGGUUCUUUUUUCUGUUUGACAUUGGCCCCGCCCAUCUGAACCUUUCCACAGCAUGGUCUCUUCCCAGGCUGGGAAGAGACCAUGAAGGCUGGGAUGAAGGCUGGGAUGGUUAAACUCACCUGGAGUGGAGGAUCAUCGAGAGACAAGAGGUAAGAUUACACGGGUUCGGCUUUUUGAGUUCAGGGGAAGACUGGGAUGCUUUGUAUUGCUCAAGACCGUAAGGGUUUGUCCGGCAAAGAAAAAUUGUGUGCACAAAGAGGACUCAUCACCAGAAAUAAAGUGAAGAAGAGUGCGUGUUUUCUUUGGGGCACUGAUCUGGUAUGGCCGGUUCUUUUCCCUAGACCCUGGGGUGGGGUCUUGUUUCCUGGAAGUGGGGAAAUGUUUUAUAUGUAAAUUUUCUGUUAUGUGUAGUGUGAAUGUUGUGGUUGUGAGGGUUUUCUUUUCUUUUCUUUUCUUUAAGUUGAUAUGUCCAUGUUACUCUGUGUACGCUGGACUGGGGAAAUGCUGAUUUUUCCACACUGAUUAGUGUUUGAUGCCGAUUUCUAUUGUGCCGUGUGGGUCGGGGAAUAACCACCAGGGUGCAGUGCUGAGCAGAGUUAGUGUUUUAGUUGUGUAUCGCCGUUUGGCCUAGUGAGAGCGUACAGAUUAUGUUUGUUGAACUUUUUUGAGUGUUUUAAUGGUUAUAUUUUUCUAAAUAAUAUUGUUAAUAAAUUGAUCAUUUGCUAUAAAGUCCUGGUGGUAUGAUGUACCCUCUGUUCUCCAUAAGUCUGGUUAAAUCUCCUUAAAAAAUGUGUGUGUGUGAAUAAACGUGUUAGCGUUUUGCAUCGGUGAGCUGAAACAAAUAGGCUUUCAUUGAUUUCCACAGGAUCAACAUUGUGUUUCAAAUGCCUAUUAAUUUCUAUUGCAGAGAUAAGGACGGGAGUGUAAUUUUAGCAGUUGGGAAAAUUACUACCCUGAAAUGUUACCUACUGUAUGGCCGGCGUCCUCAGCUUCAGCAGAUGUGACUGAAAUGAACUCAAUCUUCAGAGUAUUGUGCAGAACAGCCCAACUUAUUUUUUCUUAGAUCUUUUGAGUUUGCUGUCUUGAUUCUGUAAAGUGGAAAUCAUUGGCUAUCAAAGCGUUUGAGAAAUUAUCUGUGUAAGAAAAGCAGAAAUCACAUACAUACAGACUGUGUGUUGUGUGUGUGUGUAGUUAGGCAAGAGGAGUGGGAUUCUGCAGGACAGUGAGAAUUCUGCUGUGGAGUGGAAUUGGGACUCUGGAGUGCAUUGGGAAUUCUGCUGUGGAGUGGAAUUGGGACUCUGGAGUGCAUUGGGAAUUCUGCUGUGGAGUGGAAUUGGGAUUCUGCUGGGGAGUGGAAUUGGGAAUAGUGACAGUGAGUGGAUUUGGUAUUCUAUCGGGCAGUGGGAAUUGGAAUUCUACCAGGAAGUGGAAGUGGAAUUCGGCACAACACCACUUUAUCCCUUUAAUAGGCACACAAUGAAAUACUUGUGCAAAAAUAUUUUGUUAAUUCUUACUAAUUGGAUCACAUUCAACAGAAUUUCAUAUGGGUUCCCCCCCCCAAAAUUCACCCUUUAGAUUAGGAGUUAUGGACGUCUACCAGCUGGUUGAGUUGCCUGUUUAAGGUAACUGCUACAACACAGGACUCAAGACAGGAAGUAAGCGCAGGAGUGCAGUCUUUAUUUGCCACUUAA
Long non-coding RNA from Ictalurus furcatus (blue catfish), 2615 nucleotides. RefSeq lists it as uncharacterized. Lineage: Eukaryota; Metazoa; Chordata; Actinopteri; Siluriformes; Ictaluridae. The transcript has 4 exons. The record is from RefSeq and is a predicted model, not a curated record.